RNAcentral lists this ribosomal RNA (483 nucleotides) under uncultured bacterium. Its description in RNAcentral is "partial 16S ribosomal RNA". It matches the Rfam family "Bacterial small subunit ribosomal RNA", at positions 29 to 506 of the family's 1533-position model. The record is from RNAcentral.
AAUGAACGCUGGCGGCAUGCUUUACACAUGCAAGUCGAACGGAAGCGCGGGAUUCGGCCUGGCGGCGAGUGGCGAACGGGUGAGUAAUACAUCGGUACGUGCCCAGUAGAGGGGGAUAGCACGGCGAAAGCCGGCUUAAUCCCGCAUACGACCAGAUGGUGAAAGCGGGGGAUCUUCGGACCUAGCGCUACUGGCGCGGCCGCUGGCAGUUAGGCUCGUUGGUGGGGUAAAGGGGUACGAGGGCGACGUGCUGUAGCUGGUCUGCGAGGACGACCAGCCACACUGAGACUAGGCAACGUCCCAGACUCCAACGGGAGGCAGCAGAGGGGAAUUUCGGACAAGGGGGGAAACCCGAAUCAAGCAAGGCCGCGGGUGUGAUGAGGGCCUUCGGUUUGUAAAGCACUUUUGGCGGGAACAAAAAGGACGGUGCCAACUCCACGGUUCGAUGACGUUACCCGCAAGAUAAGCACCGCCUAACUACUU